GACGAACGCUGGCGGCGUGCUUAACACAUGCAAGUCGAACGGAAAGGCCCUGCUUUUGUGGGGUGCUCGAGUGGCGAACGGGUGAGUAACACGUGAGUAACCUGCCCUUGACUUUGGGAUAACUUCAGGAAACUGGGGCUAAUACCGGAUAGGAGCUCCUGCUGCAUGGUGGGGGUUGGAAAGUUUCGGCGGUUGGGGAUGCACUCGCGGCUUAUCAGCUUGUUGGUGGGGUAGUGGCUUACCAAGGCUUUGACGGGUAGCCGGCCUGAGAGGGUGACCGACCACAUUGGGACUGAGAUACGGCCCAGACUCCUACGGGAGGCAGCAGUGGGGAAUAUUGCACAAUGGGCGGAAGCCUGAUGCAGCAACGCCGCGUGCGGGAUGACGGCCUUCGGGUUGUAAACCGCUUUCGCCUGUGACGAAGCGUGAGUGACGGUAAUGGGUAAAGAAGCACCGGCUAACUACGUG
This 468-nucleotide ribosomal RNA is filed under the name uncultured bacterium. RNAcentral's name for it is "partial 16S ribosomal RNA". It matches the Rfam family "Bacterial small subunit ribosomal RNA", at positions 28 to 507 of the family's 1533-position model. The record is from RNAcentral.